GACAACACAACUGUCAGGGAGCCAAGGCAUAGGUCACCCGAGUGCUGUGACACUGACCUAGACGAUGGCGUUCCGACAUUCACCACAAACUUGAGCCAAGUCACAUCAAUAGCUUCUUGGUGGAGGAGAUCUCCGGUGGCUUUGUCAUGGAGACUGGCGACAUUGUUGAUGUCGUUUUGGCAAGGAGGAGGUGGUCGGUGGUGACGAGGGGUGGAGGAGAGAUCGUGGCUGCAGCGGAUCUAGGCCGACGGCGUCGUCUAUGAUGUUGGUGAGGGGGAGC
This 280-nucleotide long non-coding RNA is filed under the name Oryza brachyantha (malo sina). RNAcentral's name for it is "long non-coding RNA (OBRA_LNC003155)". The record is from RNAcentral. Lineage: Eukaryota; Viridiplantae; Streptophyta; Magnoliopsida; Poales; Poaceae.